This 1372-nucleotide ribosomal RNA is filed under the name uncultured bacterium. RNAcentral describes it as "bacterial SSU rRNA". It matches the Rfam family "Bacterial small subunit ribosomal RNA", at positions 28 to 1381 of the family's 1533-position model. The record is from RNAcentral.
GAUGAACGCUGGCGGCGUGCCUAAUACAUGCAAGUCGAGCGAACGGACGAGAAGCUUGCUUCUCUGAUGUUAGCGGCGGACGGGUGAGUAACACGUGGAUAACCUACCUAUAAGACUGGGAUAACUUCGGGAAACCGGAGCUAAUACCGGAUAAUAUUUUGAACCGCAUGGUUCAAAAGUGAAAGACGGUCUUGCUGUCACUUAUAGAUGGAUCCGCGCUGCAUUAGCUAGUUGGUAAGGUAACGGCUUACCAAGGCAACGAUGCAUAGCCGACCUGAGAGGGUGAUCGGCCACACUGGAACUGAGACACGGUCCAGACUCCUACGGGAGGCAGCAGUAGGGAAUCUUCCGCAAUGGGCGAAAGCCUGACGGAGCAACGCCGCGUGAGUGAUGAAGGUCUUCGGAUCGUAAAACUCUGUUAUUAGGGAAGAACAUAUGUGUAAGUAACUGUGCACAUCUUGACGGUACCUAAUCAGAAAGCCACGGCUAACUACGUGCCAGCAGCCGCGGUAAUACGUAGGUGGCAAGCGUUAUCCGGAAUUAUUGGGCGUAAAGCGCGCGUAGGCGGUUUUUUAAGUCUGAUGUGAAAGCCCACGGCUCAACCGUGGAGGGUCAUUGGAAACUGGAAAACUUGAGUGCAGAAGAGGAAAGUGGAAUUCCAUGUGUAGCGGUGAAAUGCGCAGAGAUAUGGAGGAACACCAGUGGCGAAGGCGACUUUCUGGUCUGUAACUGACGCUGAUGUGCGAAAGCGUGGGGAUCAAACAGGAUUAGAUACCCUGGUAGUCCACGCCGUAAACGAUGAGUGCUAAGUGUUAGGGGGUUUCCGCCCCUUAGUGCUGCAGCUAACGCAUUAGGCACUCCGCCUGGGGAGUACGACCGCAAGGUUGAAACUCAAAGGAAUUGACGGGGACCCGCACAAGCGGUGGAGCAUGUGGCUUAAUUCGAAGCAACGCGAAGAACCUUACCAAAUCUUGACAUCCUUUGACAACUCUAGAGAUAGAGCUUUCCCCUUCGGGGGACAAAGUGACAGGUGGUGCAUGGUUGUCGUCAGCUCGUGUCGUGAGAUGUUGGGUUAAGUCCCGCAACGAGCGCAACCCUUAAGCUUAGUUGCCAUCAUUAAGUUGGGCACUCUAAGUUGACUGCCGGUGACAAACCGGAGGAAGGUGGGGAUGACGUCAAAUCAUCAUGCCCCUUAUGAUUUGGGCUACACACGUGCUACAAUGGACAAUACAAAGGGCAGCGAAACCGCGAGGUCAAGCAAAUCCCAUAAAGUUGUUCUCAGUUCGGAUUGUAGUCUGCAACUCGACUACAUGAAGCUGGAAUCGCUAGUAAUCGUAGAUCAGCAUGCUACGGUGAAUACGUUCCCGGGUCU